UUUUAAUUUUAGUGUCUACCUCAUGUACUACACCUGUAUCUACCUCAUGUGCUACACCUGCUAAGUUAAACAACUCAUUUAAUGCGCACAAAUUUCUCAUUGAUUGCAAUAUUAAUUUUCUAAUAUAUUUUUUACCUUAAGUUCUUUCUAUGUGUGCUACAUCUUGUAAGUUUAAACUUACAUCCAAAAUGGACAAAAAACAAAAAAUAAUGCUAGAGCGUAAGCUGUCUGUAUUAAUUCUCGGUGAAAUGAUGAAUAAAUAUAAACACUUAUCUGCAAAGCAACUCAAAGAUUUAGAUGAUGUUAUGUCAGGAAGAAUUGUUGGCAGAAAACUCGAUCAUGGUAUGAUGCUGACUUUUCUAAAUCUAUCAUUUAUGAUGGUAGAGCUGAAAAGGUAAACAAUAGACUGCAAGACAGAAUUUUCAUUAUUUCUUAUGGAAACAAGAUGAAACUGAUAUUGAAGCUGUGGAACAUAUGAUG
This is a non-coding RNA of Hydra vulgaris (swiftwater hydra), 480 nucleotides long. The record is from RefSeq and is a predicted model, not a curated record. Lineage: Eukaryota; Metazoa; Cnidaria; Hydrozoa; Anthoathecata; Hydridae.